GACGAACGCUGGCGGCGUGCUUAACACAUGCAAGUCGAACGGAAAGGCCCCUUUGGGGGUACUCGAGUGGCGAACGGGUGAGUAACACGUGAGUAACCUGCCCUUGACUUCGGGAUAACUUCAGGAAACUGGGGCUAAUACCGGAUAGGAAUCCUUGCUGCAUGGUGGGGGUUGGAAAGCUUCGGCGGUUUUGGAUGGACUCGCGGCUUAUCAGCUUGUUGGUGGGGUAGUGGCUUACCAAGGCUUUGACGGGUAGCCGGCCUGAGGGGGCGACCGGCCACAUUGGGACUGAGAUACGGCCCAGACUCCUACGGGUGGCAGCAGUGGGGAAUAUUGCACAAUGGGCGGCAGCCUGAUGCAGCAACGCCGCGUGCGGGAUGACGGCCUUCGGGUUGUAAACCGCUUUCAGCAGGGGCGAAGCUUGUGGUGACGGUACCUGCAGAAGAAGCACCGGCUAACUACGUG
RNAcentral lists this ribosomal RNA (465 nucleotides) under uncultured bacterium. RNAcentral's name for it is "partial 16S ribosomal RNA". It matches the Rfam family "Bacterial small subunit ribosomal RNA", at positions 28 to 507 of the family's 1533-position model. The record is from RNAcentral.